GACGGACGCUGGCGGCGUGCCUAAUACAUGCAAGUCGAGCGAAGUUUUUCUGGUGCUUGCACUAGAAAAACUUAGCGGCGAACGGGUGAGUAACACGUAAAGAACCUGCCUCAUAGACUGGGACAACUAUUGGAAACGAUAGCUAAUACCGGAUAACAGUACUUCUCGCAUGAGAGAUAUUUAAAAGUUGGUUAUGCUAACACUAUGAGAUGGCUUUGCGGUGCAUUAGCUAGUUGGCGGGGUAAAGGCCCACCAAGGCGACGAUGCAUAGCCGACCUGAGAGGGUGAUCGGCCGCACUGGGGCUGGGACACGGCCCAGACUCCUACGAGAGGCAGCAGUAGGGAAUCUUCCGCAAUAGGCGGGAGCCUGGCGGAGCAACGCCGCGUGAGUGAAGAAGGAUUUCGGUUCGUAAAGAUCUGUUGUUAGGGGAGAAUGGAUAUGUAGUAACUAUACAUGUGAGAGACGGUACCUAGCCAGAAAGCCACGGCUAACUACGUG
This 499-nucleotide ribosomal RNA is filed under the name uncultured bacterium. Its description in RNAcentral is "partial 16S ribosomal RNA". It matches the Rfam family "Bacterial small subunit ribosomal RNA", at positions 28 to 507 of the family's 1533-position model. The record is from RNAcentral.